RNAcentral lists this ribosomal RNA (494 nucleotides) under uncultured bacterium. RNAcentral describes it as "bacterial SSU rRNA". It matches the Rfam family "Bacterial small subunit ribosomal RNA", at positions 29 to 518 of the family's 1533-position model. The record is from RNAcentral.
AUGAACGCUAGCGACAGGCCUAACACAUGCAAGUCGAGGGGCAGCACAAGGAGCAAUCUGAGGUGGCGACCGGCGCACGGGUGAGUAACACGUAUGCAACCUGCCUGUAAGCGGGGAAUAACCCGUUGAAAGACGGACUAAUACCGCAUAAUACUAAAUUACUGCAUGGUAAUUUAUUUAAACAUUUAUGGCUUACAGAUGGGCAUGCGCAUGAUUAGCUAGUUGGAGAGGUAACGGCUCCCCAAGGCAACGAUCAUUAGGGGCUCUGAGAGGAAGGUCCCCCACACUGGUACUGAGACACGGACCAGACUCCUACGGGAGGCAGCAGUGAGGAAUAUUGGUCAAUGGACGAGAGUCUGAACCAGCCAAGUCGCGUGCAGGAAGAAUGUCCUAUGGAUUGUAAACUGCUUUUGCAGGGGAAUAAAGUGCAUCACGUGUGAUGUUUUGUAUGUACUCUGCGAAUAAGGAUCGGCUAACUCCGUGCCAGCCGCCGC